Molecule: ribosomal RNA, 648 nt
Filed under: Triticum aestivum (bread wheat)
Lineage: Eukaryota; Viridiplantae; Streptophyta; Magnoliopsida; Poales; Poaceae
Description: partial small subunit ribosomal RNA
Source: RNAcentral
AUGCGGGCUCCGGCGAACCUCCUGCACCGCAGCACGGCCGUCACAGCCGGCCCCAGCGAGCCGUCUCCGUCUCCUUCCUCGCUGCCGCCGCCUCAUCCGGAGCAGCAGCAGACGGCGCCGGUCAUGGCGAUGGACUCGGACAUGGUGGUGAUACUGGCGUCGCUGCUGUGUGCGCUAGUCUGUGUCCUCGGCCUCGGCCUCGUCUCCCGGUGCGUGUGUGGGCGACGACGCUCUAACUCUACUUCAUCCUCCGUGCCUCUUCCCCCGAAAGGCCUCAAGAAGAAGGCCAUCGACGCGCUCCCCACCGUCUCCUUCACCGUGGCCGGUGCCUCACCGCAGUCAUCGUCAUCAGCGGCGGCAUGCUCGUCGUCAUUGGAGUGCGCGAUAUGCCUUGCAGAGUUUACGGACGGAGAGAGCGUGCGCGUGCUCCCGCGCUGCGGCCACAACUUCCACAUGACCUGCGUCGACGCCUGGCUUCGGACGUGCGCCACCUGCCCCUCCUGCCGCGCCCCCAUCGUUGUCACACCGGCUCAGCCGCCGGUGGGGCCAACGGUGGUCGUGGUGGUGGCAACGGCGAACAACAGGUGCAGGAGGUGCGGCGAGCUGGAAGCGCCGGCUGGUGGUGCGGAUAGCACGUUCUUGCCUUAG